UAAGCGGAGGAAAAGAAACUAACAAGGAUUCCCCUAGUAACGGCGAGUGAACAGGGAAGAGCUCAAAUUUGUAAUCUGGCGUCCUUUGGGCGUCCGAGUUGUAAUCUAUAGAAGUGUUUUCCGUGCUGGACCAUGUCCAAGUCCCUUGGAACAGGGUAUCAAAGAGGGUGACAAUCCCGUGCUUGACAUGACGACCAGUGCUCUGUGAUACACUCUCUACGAGUCGAGUUGUUUGGGAAUGCAGCUCAAAAUGGGUGGUGAGUUCCAUCUAAAGCUAAAUAUUGGCGAGAGACCGAUAGCGAACAAGUACCGUGAGGGAAAGAUGAAAAGCACUUUGGAAAGAGAGUUAAACAGUACGUGAAAUUGUUGAAAGGGAAACGAUUGAAGUCAGUCGUGUCUGAGGGGUUCAGCCGGUCACGCCGGUCUACUCCCCUUGGAUGGGUCAACGUCAGUUUGGAUCGGUGGAAAAAGGCAGUUUGAAGGUGGCAGCUCCGGCUGUGUUAUAGCUUUCUGUCACAUACACUGGACUGGACUGAGGCAUGCAGCUCGCCCUCGUGGCUGGGGUUCUCCCACAUUCGAGCUUAGGAUGUUGACAUAAUGGCUUUAACGACCCGUCUUGAAACACG
RNAcentral lists this ribosomal RNA (626 nucleotides) under Kockovaella phaffii. RNAcentral describes it as "eukaryotic LSU rRNA". It matches the Rfam family "Eukaryotic large subunit ribosomal RNA", at positions 47 to 663 of the family's 3401-position model. Lineage: Eukaryota; Fungi; Basidiomycota; Tremellomycetes; Tremellales; Cuniculitremaceae. The record is from RNAcentral.